UACGUAGGGUGCAGGCGUUAAUCGGAAUUACUGGGCGUAAAGGGCGCGUAGGCGGCCAUCUAAGUCAGACGUGAAAUCCCCCGGCUUAACCUGGGAACUGCGUCUGAUACUGGAAGGCUUGAGUAUGGGAGAGGGAUGUAGAAUUCCAGGUGUAGCGGUGAAAUGCGUAGAUAUCUGGAGGAAUACCGGUGGCGAAGGCGGCAUCCUGGACCAUUACUGACGCUGAGGCGCGAAAGCUAGGGGAGCAAACGGG
This 253-nucleotide ribosomal RNA is filed under the name uncultured bacterium. RNAcentral describes it as "partial 16S ribosomal RNA". It matches the Rfam family "Bacterial small subunit ribosomal RNA", at positions 524 to 776 of the family's 1533-position model. The record is from RNAcentral.